AGUGAGGGAGUGCGAGGCGGGAGGGGGAGGCGGCGCGGCCGCGGCCUGGGCCCCGCCAGGGCUGCUCUCACGGCGCCUCUCUCUCUCUCUCCCUGCCCGCCCUCGGCGUCUCGGCUCCUCUGUGUCUCUCCUCCCGCCAUGGGACCCGACUCUUCGUGCCCGCCGCAGUGCCCAGCCGGCUGGGGGAAGAUGCCAAAAUGGCGACCGGCAACUACUUUGGAUUCACCCACAGCGGGGCGGCGGCGGCGGCGGCUGCGGCCCAAUAUAGCCAGCAGCCAGCUUCGGGUGUAGCCUAUUCUCAUCCAACUACAGUUGCUAGCUACACUGUCCAUCAGGCUCCAGUAGCUGCUCACACAGUUACUGCUGCCUAUGCACCAGCAGCCGCCACAGUUGCAGUUGCCAGGCCUGCUCCAGUAGCUGUUGCAGCUGCUGCAACAGCUGCUGCUUAUGGAGGCUACCCCACUGCACACACGGCAACUGACUAUGGUUAUACUCAGAGGCAACAAGAAGCACCACCACCACCACCCC
RNAcentral lists this small RNA (528 nucleotides) under Pongo abelii (Sumatran orangutan). RNAcentral's name for it is "retained intron". The record is from RNAcentral. Lineage: Eukaryota; Metazoa; Chordata; Mammalia; Primates; Hominidae.